GAUUUUCUCCUUUAUAAUCCCUAAAAAAAUAUUCUCUUGAUUUCUUUGAAUUUGAUUUUUUAUUUUGAUUACUAAAUAUUCCAAAUCUGGUUUUAUUGAUUGUGAAGGUUUUAUUGUGGAAUUUGUAAGUACGCAGAAUCAGUCGGGUGUUGUUGGUUUAUCUUAAUAGAAUUUAGUCGCUUAGAUAUAUGAGAUUUGUGGGAAUAUGUUGGGUUAAUCUGGUUGUUUUAGUAUCUCUUGAUGAUCCCUUACUGAUUCUGAGAAGAAUGGUCCUUUGGUUAUUCAGAAAUGAUGGAUUUUCACAUCGUUGACUACUUAUGAAGAUAAAUUAGGACUUUAUACAACAAUCAGAAGGUGGAGUUGAAUAAAAGUGAAAAAAAUGAGUCUUACAGAGUUAGAUGCGUGUCCAAGAGAAGGUUGUGCAUGGAUGGUGAAUGAGAGGAUUCUUCCCUGAAGAAGCAGUUGAAACUUAGGAAGUUAGGGUUACACCCACGCGUACUGAUGUUACAUUAGAGCUACUAGAACUCAAUAUUGUUCUUGGAUAAGGUUGUGAAUCCUUUAUUUGAAAAGCGUCCAAAACAGUUUGGCAUUGGUGGUGCGUUGCCUCCAAAAAAGGAUUUGCAUAGGUUCGUGAAAUGGCUAAAAGUUGUCCGCAUUCAGCUACAGAGGAGGAGGAUACUCAAGCAACGUUUGAAGGUUCCACCUACUUUGAACCAGUUCACUAAAACCCUAGACAAAAACCUUGUUACAAACCUAUUCAAAAUGUUGCUCAAGUUAUGUCCAGAGGACAAGGCUGCUAAGAAGGAAAGACUAUUGAAAAGAGCACAGGCUGAAUCAGAGGGAAACACUGUCGAGGCAAAGAAGCCGAUUUGUUGUGAAAUAUGGGCUUAACCAUAUUACCUACCUCAGUGAGCAGGGCCUGCUAUGGUAUUUUGAGAUUUGACAUGAAAACUGGUACCAAGGGUAGCGAGGGCCUUCUAUGGUGUUCUGAGAUUUGUCAUGAAAACUGGUACCAAGGGUUGCGAGGUUAUUUUGUAAGGAACUUGUGGAAGCUCGUGCAAAGUCAAUGAAGUUCAAAGAUGGAUACAUGUCGACUCAGCCGUCAGACACGUCUUUUUUGGGCAGGUCAGUUUUUGUUGUUUCAGAGAUUGAUUGGUUUGUUUAUAUGGUGUCAAGGUUGGGAGUUCUUCCUUAGCUUGCUGGGUAUAGCACCUUUGGCCUGGCGUUUAGGAUAUGCGACUGAGUAAGUUAUAUUUGGCUUGUGGGACUUGUAAAUGUACUAUUCUAAUGUGUUCUGUAACUAAUGCUAACUCAUGUCUGUUAUUUUUUUUUGUUUGAUCGGUCUCAUGUCUGUUAUUCUUAUCGUGCAAUCUAGCUGUGUCAUAUAACUAAUGUUAAUUCAUGUCAUGUUGCUCUUAUUGUCCAAUAUAGGCAAUUGGCAUUUUUCACAUGGCCUACGUACUGGUAUGCUAUUACAUAUACUAUUGAUUUGUUGCUUGAGAGUUGUUCACAUAGAUAUCCUAUCGAUCUAAUAUUCUAGUGUAAAUGCAAUUAAAAUGGGUUUAUCCAUCCAACAGGCAGGUGCAGUGGUGAAUUCAGGAUUUCCUUGAUGUCUGUCAUGGUGUAAUGUUGCUAGCUGUGCUUCACUUUAAGCAGUGUUAUUAUGCUUAUUGCAUAAGCAACUACUUUUUUUUUAAUUGAAGAGUCCAGGUAAUCUUUAUAAGCCAACUCCCGUUGAAGAGGUGAGAUUUUCUAAAUGGAAGGUCCUAAUUCUCGGUUUAAGUUUUCUUCCCAAUACUUCAUCAUUUAUAUUUCAUGAAAAAUGACGGAAGUGAUAGUCAUCGCUAGUGAACAGAACGAACUAAAUUAUGAAGAUGCAACUUCUAAUAAUUGUUACCUAAAAUCUUUGUAGGUGAAGGAUCCAAAGGAAGAGGAGCCCUGCGAUGAUGAGGCGCCUGAGGUUCAACUGGAUCAGCUGCUACUUCUACUACUACACCAAAACAUGUGCCCACCGCCAAAGGUCAAGCACUUGCUGACGAGUGUGGUAUCAAAUUCUUUGAGACUGUAAGCAAAAAUCUCCCUGGUGUGUACGAAUCUAAAUGUGGAGCUUCUCUUUUCCUGUAAGGUGUUCAUGUAAGAUUGUAUACACUGAAGAGAAUGAUAACUCGAAUAUAUCCUUAACGAGUUUCGAAACCCAAACCUGGGCGCUAUAAAUUCUGGGUUGAAUCAUGAGGGCAUUGGUAGCGCUGGUGUCAAAAAGAUUGUUCAGUAUAAAGCUUAUUAAUAACUGAAGCUGACUGAUUUAUAUUAACUGAUGUUUGAUCUUUCAAAUUCAGAAACUAGGGUUCUUGAGCAAAGUUAGGUAAUCUGAAAUUUAGUGGUAUUCUGUAGAUUGUUGUUUCUUUUUUAAAUCACCCCAAUUAAUUCUAUGGGUUUUGUAUCUAUGCUUCUAGAGUUUGAAAGCCUAAUUUAUGAGAAAUUUAUGUUCUUGAUGGUGAUGUAAAAAUGAUAAAUCAAAUGUUCUUAUUGUGGAUAUUCAGGAGCAGAAAUCUGCCGGAACUAUUGUCGG
Molecule: long non-coding RNA, 2569 nt
Organism: Papaver somniferum (opium poppy)
Lineage: Eukaryota; Viridiplantae; Streptophyta; Magnoliopsida; Ranunculales; Papaveraceae
Exons: 11
Source: RefSeq, a predicted model, not a curated record